Molecule: ribosomal RNA, 484 nt
Filed under: uncultured bacterium
Lineage: Bacteria
Description: partial 16S ribosomal RNA
Rfam family: Bacterial small subunit ribosomal RNA
Source: RNAcentral
AUUGAACGCUGGCGGCAGGCCUAACACACGCAAGUCGAGCGGAUGAAGGGAGCUUGCUCCUGGAUUCAGCGGCGGACGGGUGAGUAAUGCCUAGGAAUCUGCCUGGUAGUGGGGGAUAACGUCCGGAAACGGGCGCUAAUACCGCAUACGUCCUGAGGGAGAAAGUGGGGGAUCUUCGGACCUCACGCUAUCAGAUGAGCCUAGGUCGGAUUAGCUAGUUGGUGGGGUAAAGGCCUACCAAGGCGACGAUCCGUAACUGGCCUGAGAGGAUGAUCAGUCACACUGGAACUGAGACACGGUCCAGACUCCUACGGGAGGCAGCAGUGGGGAAUAUUGGACAAUGGGCGAAAGCCUGAUCCAGCCAUGCCGCGUGUGUGAAGAAGGUCUUCGGAUUGUAAAGCACUUUAAGUUGGGAGGAAGGGCAGUAAGUUAAUACCUUGCUGUUUUGACGUUACCAACAGAAUAAGCACCGGCUAACUUCGUG